This 465-nucleotide ribosomal RNA is filed under the name Vreelandella stevensii. RNAcentral's name for it is "partial 16S ribosomal RNA". It matches the Rfam family "Bacterial small subunit ribosomal RNA", at positions 338 to 795 of the family's 1533-position model. The record is from RNAcentral. Lineage: Bacteria; Pseudomonadati; Pseudomonadota; Gammaproteobacteria; Oceanospirillales; Halomonadaceae.
CCUACGGGGGGCUGCAGUGGGGAAUAUUGGACAAUGGGGGCAACCCUGAUCCAGCCAUGCCGCGUGUGUGAAGAAGGCCCUCGGGUUGUAAAGCACUUUCAGUGAGGAAGAACGCCUGGUGGUUAAUACCCAUCAGGAAAGACAUCACUCACAGAAGAAGCACCGGCUAACUCCGUGCCAGCAGCCGCGGUAAUACGGAGGGUGCGAGCGUUAAUCGGAAUUACUGGGCGUAAAGCGCGCGUAGGUGGCUUGAUAAGCCGGUUGUGAAAGCCCCGGGCUCAACCUGGGAACGGCAUCCGGAACUGUCAAGCUAGAGUGCAGGAGAGGAAGGUAGAAUUCCCGGUGUAGUGGUGAAAUGCGUAGAGAUCGGGAGGAAUACCAGUGGCGAAGGCGGCCUUCUGGACUGACACUGACACUGAGGUGCGAAAGCGUGGGUAGCAAACAGGAUUAGAUACCCUGGUAGUC